Spodoptera litura is the source of this 282-nucleotide non-coding RNA. Lineage: Eukaryota; Metazoa; Arthropoda; Insecta; Lepidoptera; Noctuidae. The record is from RefSeq and is a predicted model, not a curated record.
GAAAACAUCGCAUCGUCCUUCUUUUCAUUCUACGGAGUCUCGAGCACAGACCGAUAUCUGCAUCGUGAAUUUCCUUAAUAAUCACGAACUCCUUUUGAAGGAGGAAAGUUAAAGUUUUUCCUUCUUAAACAUGAGAGCAAAGUGGCGUAAGAAGCGCAUGCGAAGGCUAAAGCGCAAAAGGAGGAAGAUGCGUGCGAGGUCCAAAUAAAAUGGUACACCGUGUGGAAGUUAGGAUCAUCUAAUAACUACUAGUGUAUCAAAUAAAAACCCACUAAAAAUCAA